Molecule: long non-coding RNA, 251 nt
Organism: Fundulus heteroclitus (mummichog)
Lineage: Eukaryota; Metazoa; Chordata; Actinopteri; Cyprinodontiformes; Fundulidae
Exons: 3
Source: RefSeq, a predicted model, not a curated record
CAGGUCAUGUUGCAGAGGAAGCGACCCGAAAAGGCCCGCACCAGCUGGAAGAGCAGCUCGAUCUCAGAGUAGUUACGCCUGAGGAGUCAGAACCAGAACCAGGUCAGAACCAGGUCAGAACCAGGUCAGAACCAGGUCAUGUUGCAGAGGAAGCGACCCGAGAAGGCCCGCACCAGCUGGAAGAGCAGCUCGAUCUCAGAGUAGUUACGCCUGAGGAGAGGAGUCAGAACCAGAACCAGGUCAGAACCCGG